CUUUAAGUUUCAGUCUUGCGACCGUACUCCCCAGGCGGCUAGCUUAACGGCUUCCCUGCGACACUCCAAUCGCGAUUUGCGACUGGAUCAUCUAGCUCGCAUCGUUUACGGCUGGGACUACCCGGGUAUCUAAUCCGGUUCGCUCCCCCAGCUUUCAUCCCUCACCGUCGAGCGCGUUCUGGUGGACCGCCUUCGCCACUGGUGGUCUUCCGCGGAUCAAAGGAUUUUACCCCUACCCGCGGAGUACCGUCCACCUCUCCCGCCUCCUAGUCCGGCGGUAUCCCCUGCGGGCCAAUCGUUGAGCGAUUGGAUUUAGCAGGGGACCUACCGAACCGGCUACGGAUGCUUUAGGCCCAAUAAUCGCCCCGACCACUCGAGGAGCUGGUAUUACCGCGGCGGCUGACACCAGGCUUGCCCUCCCCUUAUUCUCCAG
RNAcentral lists this ribosomal RNA (433 nucleotides) under uncultured archaeon. Its description in RNAcentral is "partial 16S ribosomal RNA". The record is from RNAcentral.